Molecule: ribosomal RNA, 427 nt
Filed under: uncultured archaeon
Lineage: Archaea
Description: bacterial SSU rRNA
Rfam family: Archaeal small subunit ribosomal RNA
Source: RNAcentral
UACCAGCUCUCCGAGUGGUAGGGAUGUUUAUUGGGCUUAAAGCGUCCGUAGCCGGCUUAGCAAGUCUCCUGUUAAAUUCAGCGACCUAAUCGUUGAGCCGCGGGAGAUACUACUAGGCUAGGAGGCGGGAGAGGUCAACGGUACUUCCGGGGUAGGGGUGAAAUCCUAUAAUCCCGGGAGGACCACCAGUGGCGAAGGCUGUUGACUAGAACGCGCUCGACGGUGAGGGACGAAAGCUGGGGGAGCGAACCGGAUUAGAUACCCGGGUAGUCCCAGCUGUAAACGAUGCGAGCUGGGUGUUGGGGUGGCUACGUGCCACUUCAGUGCGCAGGGAAGCCAUUAAGCUCGCCGCCUGGGAGUACGGCCGCAAGGCUGAAACCUAAAGGAAUUGGCGGGGGAGCACCACAAGGCGUGAAGCUUGCGGUUC